This 454-nucleotide ribosomal RNA is filed under the name uncultured bacterium. RNAcentral describes it as "bacterial SSU rRNA". It matches the Rfam family "Bacterial small subunit ribosomal RNA", at positions 340 to 786 of the family's 1533-position model. The record is from RNAcentral.
UACGGAAGGCAGCAGUGGGGAAUAUUGCACAAUGGGCGCAAGCCUGAUGCAGCCAUGCCGCGUGUAUGAAGAAGGCCUUCGAGUUGUAAAGUACUUUCAGUCGUGAGGAAGGUGUUAAGGUUAAUAACCUUAGCAAUUGACGUUAGCGACAGAAGAAGCACCGGCUAACUCCGUGCCAGCAGCCGCGGUAAUACGGAGGGUGCGAGCGUUAAUCGGAAUUACUGGGCGUAAAGGGCACGCAGGCGGUUAAUUAAGUUGGAUGUGAAAUCCCCGGGCUUAACCUGGGAAUGGCAUUCAAGACUGGUUAGCUAGAGUCUUGUAGAGGGGGUUAGAAUUCCAUGUGUAGCGGUGAAAUGCGUAGAGAUGUGGAGGAAUACCGGUGGCGAAGGCGGCCCCUGGGACAAAGACUGACGCUCAUGUGCGAAAGCGUGGGGAGCAAACAGGAUUAGAUACC